CCUACGGGUGACUGCAGUGAGGAAUAUUGGUCAAUGGACGCAAGUCUGAACCAGCCAUGCCGCGUGCAGGAAGACGGCUCUAUGAGUUGUAAACUGCUUUUGUACGAGGGUAAACGCAGAUACGCGUAGCCGGACUGAGAGUACCUGAAGAAAAAGCAUCGGCUAACUCCGUGCCAGCAGCCGCGGUAAUACGGAGGAUGGGAGUGUUAUCCGGAUUUAUGGGGUUUAAAGGGUGCGUAGGCGGAAUGCCAAGUCAGCGGUAAAAUCGCGGGGCUCAACCUCGUUCCGCCGUUUAAACUGGCGUUGUUGAGUGGGCGAGAAGUAUGCGGAAUGCGUGGUGUAGCGGUGAAAUGCAUAGAUAUCACGCAGAACGCCGAUUGCGAAGGCAGCAUACCGGCGCCGAACUGACGCUGAAGCACGAAAGCGUGGGUAUCGAACAGGAUUAGAUACCCGAGUAGUC
RNAcentral lists this ribosomal RNA (460 nucleotides) under uncultured bacterium. Its description in RNAcentral is "partial 16S ribosomal RNA". It matches the Rfam family "Bacterial small subunit ribosomal RNA", at positions 338 to 795 of the family's 1533-position model. The record is from RNAcentral.